This 520-nucleotide ribosomal RNA is filed under the name uncultured Glomus. Its description in RNAcentral is "SSU rRNA". It matches the Rfam family "Eukaryotic small subunit ribosomal RNA", at positions 569 to 1090 of the family's 1831-position model. The record is from RNAcentral. Lineage: Eukaryota; Fungi; Glomeromycota; Glomeromycetes; Glomerales; Glomeraceae.
AGCAGCCGCGGUAAUUCCAGCUCCAAUAGCGUAUAUUAAAGUUGUUGCAGUUAAAAAGCUCGUAGUUGAAUUUCGGGAUCAGCGCGUCGGUCGUACCUCCGGUAUGCACUGGCGCCGCUGGUUUCUCCCUUCUGAGGAACCGUGAUGUCAUUAAUUUGGUGUUGCGGGAAAUCAGGACUGUUACUUUGAAAAAAUUAGAGUGUUUAAAGCGGGCACGCGCUUGAAUACAUUAGCAUGGAAUAACGAAAUAGGACGUUCGAUCUUAUUUUGUUGGUUUCUAGGAUUGACGUAAUGAUUAAUAGGGAUAGUUGGGGGCAUUAGUAUUCAAUUGUCAGAGGUGAAAUUCUUGGAUUUAUUGAAGACUAACUACUGCGAAAGCAUUUGCCAAGGAUGUUUUCAUUAAUCAAGAACGAAAGUUAGGGGAUCGAAGACGAUCAGAUACCGUCGUAGUCUUAACCAUAAACUAUGCCGACUAGGGAUCGGAUGAUGUUAAUUUUAUAAUGACUCAUUCGGCGCCUUA